GCUGGCGGCAUGCCUAACACAUGCAAGUCGAACGGAGGCCCGAAGCUUGCUUCGGUUACCUUAGUGGCGAACGGGUGAGUAACACGUGGGAAUCUACCUAAAAAUGGGGAAUAACUGUUGGAAACGGCAGCUAAUACCGCAUAAUCCCUUUGGGGUAAAGGCUUCGGUCGUUUUUAGAUGAGCCCGCGCUAGAUUAGGUUGUUGGUGAGGUAAAAGCUCACCAAGCCUGCAAUCUAUAGCUGGUCUGAGAGGAUGAUCAGCCACACUGGGACUGAGACACGGCCCAGACUCCUACGGGAGGCAGCAGUGGGGAAUAUUGGACAAUGGGGGAAACCCUGAUCCAGCAAUGCCGCGUGAGUGAAGAAGGCCCUAGGGUUGUAAAGCUCUUUCAGAAGUGAAGAUGAUGACUGUAACUUCAGAAGAAGAUCCGGCUAACUCCGUGCCAGCAGCCGCGGUAAUACGGAGGGAUCUAGCGUUGUUCGGAAUUACUGGGCGUAAAGGGCGCGUAGGCUGUAUGAUUAGUCAGAGGUGAAAUCCCUAAGCUUAACUUAGGAACUGCCUUUGAUACUGUCAUACUAGAGAAUGAGAGAGGUGAGUGGAAUUCCAAGUGUAGAGGUGAAAUUCGUAGAUAUUUGGAAGAACACCAGUGGCGAAAGCGGCUCACUGGCUCAUUUCUGACGCUGAGGCGCGAAAGCGUGGGUAGCAAACAGGAUUAGAUACCCUGGUAGUCCACGCUGUAAACGAUGAAUGCUAGCCGUUUGAAGUUUUACUUCAAGUGGUGCAGUUAACGCGUUAAGCAUUCCGCCUGGGGAGUACGAU
This 819-nucleotide ribosomal RNA is filed under the name uncultured Alphaproteobacteria bacterium. RNAcentral's name for it is "bacterial SSU rRNA". It matches the Rfam family "Bacterial small subunit ribosomal RNA", at positions 35 to 886 of the family's 1533-position model. The record is from RNAcentral. Lineage: Bacteria; Pseudomonadati; Pseudomonadota; Alphaproteobacteria.